This 206-nucleotide ribosomal RNA is filed under the name uncultured bacterium. RNAcentral's name for it is "partial 16S ribosomal RNA". It matches the Rfam family "Bacterial small subunit ribosomal RNA", at positions 568 to 774 of the family's 1533-position model. The record is from RNAcentral.
UGCGUAGGUGGUCUUGUAAGUCAGAAGUGAAAGGCUACGGCUUAACCGUAGUAAGCUUUUGAAACUGCAGGACUUGAGUGCAGGAGAGGAAAGUGGAAUUCCUAGUGUAGCGGUGAAAUGCGUAGAUAUUAGGAGGAACACCAGUGGCGAAGGCGACUUUCUGGACUGUUACUGACACUGAGACACGAAAGCGUGGGGAGCGAACA